Molecule: long non-coding RNA, 864 nt
Organism: Zeugodacus cucurbitae (melon fly)
Lineage: Eukaryota; Metazoa; Arthropoda; Insecta; Diptera; Tephritidae
Exons: 3
Source: RefSeq, a predicted model, not a curated record
CAAGGUCUUCGGCCACAACGAGAAAAAUCAACUGCUGAACCCAAGCCCAGACAUGGUGGUCCACCCGGCGCCGUCAUGCGCCAUGCUACUCCACUCACAGUUACUAGGACAACCCCAACACCUAAAAGUUGAAAAAUAAUAUCUGCCUAGUAAACAUACCGAUCAUUAAGAGCGCAGCAGUAAGGUGCGAGGAUGGAGGUCCUGCAAAGCUUGUCGCUCCUAACGCAGCUCCGCUCAAAGCACAUGCAAUGCCGCCAAGAGCCACCACAGCAAUCAAUGAACGCAACGGUGGUCCGGCAAACCAUUGACCACAGCAACCUUUUCCAGAACGUUCUGACGGAGAUCUUUCGAAUCUUGUGGAGUUGGGCGCUACUCAAAUGCUAACACUGAGCUACAAUGUGACUAACCGGUUUGACAGUAUUUUUUUGAGGAAUGAGGUGACAAAGGCGACGCGAGAACGCAUUGUGAAGAAAAGAAAAGAGAAACGAUGUUUUUGUUUGGUGCAGAUGGACAAGUUGCAAUUUGGUUUCACUGAUACACUCACAGCAGAGAUUAUAAUUUGUGGGUGUUAUACCGACCUAGGGAUUACAGGGAAAGUCUUAGCGAUGACAAUGUGAAUAGACAAGUUCAACAUAAAAAGAAAUCCGGAGCUUUGGCGACUAGAAAAUAGAUAAGUGCUUAUCGUCUUCAACUAAAACGUCCAAUACUAGCAUAACUGUUUAUUGGGUACAAUUAGAGAUUUAGUCACAGGGAAAGAACCACAUCAGAAGCAAUGCAAUUGGAAAGCUGUGGAAGUAGCUGGUGUGUGUUUAAUUUUAUCAAUUGGUUUGUAAAUUAAGCAGAAUUAAACUAGAUUUAUUUACU